This is a long non-coding RNA of Meleagris gallopavo (turkey), 5663 nucleotides long. RefSeq lists it as uncharacterized. Lineage: Eukaryota; Metazoa; Chordata; Aves; Galliformes; Phasianidae. The record is from RefSeq and is a predicted model, not a curated record.
CCGGACGUCGCGAGAGCGGCCCUGCAGGUCACGUGUUUCUGGAGCGCGGCGCCGAUUGGUGGAGCGCGCGCGUCGCGUAGAAGGGAACUCCGAUCGCUGCGCAACGGAGUGAGAGUAAGGGAGGUGGGGGCGCGCAGGCGCGAAUCUUGGCGCUGAUCUCAGGCGCAUGCGCGAAUCUUGGCGCUGAUCUCAGGCGCAUGCGCGGGGCCGAGGGCGGUGCUGCGGUGCGCGGGGUUCGGCUGUGAGUGGCGGGGCGGGAGGCUGCGCGCUGUGCUAUGCUGCGCUCCGCAGCGCUCCGCAGCGCUCCGCAGGUCGAUCAGCCUUUGUAACUGAAGCCUUCCUUGGUGAGAGUGUACAAAGUGCAGACAUCAAGCGGGCAGGAAGGCGCAAGGCUCCGCACAGCUCGUCUGCAAGGACGCCUUGCUCGCGAGCCUCUUUUAUCUUGGUAGCGACGUAGCAAAGGAAGAAAGUGUUUGUGGUAGCCUAAGCAGGAACAAAAGUCUGGAUUCCCCAUGCUGUGCUUCCUUGGGAGAGAGCUCAGCUCUUCGGUGUGGUUACAGACCCAAAGCUUCAGGGCUGCAGGAGGAUUUGCAGCUUGCCUUGGAGAAUAACUCUUGAAUUGACAGAGGAAAUGGUUGUAUUCAGCAGUGGGCAAAGUGCUGUCAGAAAUUCAAACACUGCCUCUGGAGAAAACCUGAAAUUAUUUCUGCAGAGGUUCCCAGAUCUCUGCUACCACCCUUAGCAUGCCAUGCUAGUGGAAGGUGUCCCUGCCAAGAUGGAGUUCCAGCUGGAUCAGUUUUGGAAGACUACUUCAAAGCUUCAGUGUCCUGCCAUGAGUCUGCCUGCCAUGCCGACAUCUUGCUUGUUUGUUCUUCUGCCUCUACCACUCAACAGCAUUCCUCUUUUCAGCCACGGUUUGUUACAAGAUAGAUGCUAUGUAGGAGGGGCUCUGGGUCUUCUCCAAGAAGACAGGUUAUUACAGAUGGAUUUUUUACCUAACCUGAGCGAGCCACUGUACUGACAGUGACUGGAGAAAAAGAUAAAAAAGAAAAUAUCCCUGGAAAGAGCUGUACUAUGUUCAUCGGAUAUUGCUGUGUGUGUCUUUGCUUCUCAUCUGCUAGUUGGAAAGGAGUACCAAACAAAAGCCUUUUUGUCAUGAAAAUCACCCACCAACCUCUGCCAACUGUCAGUCAGAGGAACAAUAAGUGUGAGAGCCAAACAUGCCACCCACCAAAAACGUGUAUGUGAGCUUGGGUUAAAGGACAAAGAAAGAAAUUUGCGCUCGCAAUAGUCCAACACAACAGCAUGGAAACAGCUCUGCCAGCAGAGCUCCUUUCACCCACCCAGGGAGGCGAUUGGACCAUCUGGAUUUCUCUGGAUUCGAGUUUUCAGAGGCACAGUUCCCAUCAACACCACAAAACGGAAAUCAUUUGUUCCCAGAUCUGAUUGCAGCACAAGUCGUAACUGAGUCCUUGACUGUUACGGUCUAGGUUGGGCCAUAGGCUAAUUUGGGAUGAACCAAGAAUACAGAUGGGAACAAAUAAGAGAGAGGAAUGUCAUAGCUUGAAACUAAAUUCAGCUACAGCUCAUAAAUGAGAAAUGGAAAUCAAAAUCCCCAGGCAGGCACAAAGGGUUUUGUGAGGCUGUUCUUGUUCACAUGAUGCAAUCUCAAGGUUCGAUGCCACCAGAAGGAAUGACUUUUCACCACUUCCUUUCUCCUUCCUGGUGCCAGCUGAUACGUUUGGGUAUUGAAAAGUCCCUGAUGACGCUGCACCUUACUCACAUGUCAGUGUGACAGCUCCAAACAUGGGAGCUGACGCCAUGGCAAGUGCACUGGGUGCCAAAGGUGCAGUUGAAGGGACCAAGAAAACAUCUAUAUCCAGUAUAUCCUGGAAUAGUAUAAUUUGAUACUGAUAGUGUAGCUAUUGGAGAUGGAUUUCAGGCUAUUCAAAUCAGUCAUCUGCUCAAUAAGCCCAAAAUUACAGUGCCAUAUGCUUGGUUUGCCUGAACGGAUCAGUGAAGGGAGUUACCAUCUUCAAAUACAGUGACAAUUACACCACCAAAGCAGUUUUAACAGGGAAGAACAUCAACAGUGGCAGCUCAAGUGGGAUUUCAGCACUGGAACAGUGGACAUUUUGAAGUUAAUAAUAAUAAUAAUUCACAGUAGAAGAGCCUCCUUUUUCCCUCUGGGUAAAUAUGCAAGCCAUAAAUAAUACUGCAGGUAUGAUGCAAUGCUGGGGUAUUUUUGUCUCUGGCAUACACUGAGAUCAGAUUUCCUGCUAUCCAGUAAUUUCCAAAUACUUUGGCAUGUCAAGUCACAGGCACUCCCACAAGGUGCUCGCCUGACCGAUAUAUACCUGGUACAUUGUUCUAAGUGGGGGAAAUGUGAGGAGGGGAGUGUGGUACCAGUGUGAUUACACUGAUCAGGGAUGUGGGUUCCUCUGGUUGUGUUUUUAACCGAGAGGGCUGUAAUAUUGUAAAGCUUCCUGCAAUUCUGCUGCUGUUUUGUGCAACGCAAUAUUUAUUCCCAUUCCACUCUGCAAACUGUGCCUCUGUGCUCGGUAUGGGUGGGACUCCCCAAGCUGUAUGGAGUGUGCUGAGUAUGUUUUCAGAUUCUUAGCCAUCAUAGCAUUUGGUCAUACUUUUGCCAUAUGUAGCCAAGGAAGAAUCAGUGACAAAGUCACUUUCUCAUAGAUUCCCUUUAGAGGCCAUGCAUGCCAGCUGCAGCUUUAACUGCAUCGUCUUUGUCUUUCUUCCAGUUACCCAAAGUUAUCAGCUAUAUUCAGAUCCUCUUCUGUUUUCAAAAAAAAAAAACAUAAAAAAAUUGACCACAUCAAUUCUGUGAGGCUGAGCUGGCUAUUACCUAAAGAUAUUAUAUAAGAGCUGUACAGUUACUGACGAAACCAGCAGAGCCCAUAGCAAGCUACAGAGCUGUAUUUCCUCCCUCUCUCCCUCUGCAUCUCCUCUGUCGCUGAAGAAAUUUCUCAAUUUUCCCUGAUGACAGAGCAAUAAUGUACUGCUCUUUACAAAGCCAAAAAGCUGCUCAUGUUCGGCUGUAGCACAAAAAGCUGCAAGCCAGGCUUUCAAGAGAUAAUAAUGCUUUAGUGCAGCUACAUACAAGACAAAAACUGUUUGAAGGAAGCAAGAUGCCAGAAUUAGAAAUUCAGUGCUAGAAAACAGCAUGCAUUUCCUGUCCCUAUGAUGUUAUUAUAUUGAAAGGGCUGCUGCCAGGCCAAUACUUCUGUAUCCUUCUUGCUAAAUAGAGAGGAUCUACCCAAAUGUCCGCCUUUCUCUGUUUGCUCGCCUGUCUGCUUAGUAACUUUCAAAUAAUUGGCCCUAACAGAAUUGCUCUGACGUAAUUGUAAAUAAGUGCCCUCCUGAAUGAACCUCUACCUGAUUCAUGGUGUGACACUGAAUCCCUUACUAAUUUGCUGUGUCACUACCUCAAGUGGUGUGCUAGGGGCUGGUAACUAAAUGGGUGGUUAGGAGAGAUCUCCUGGCUCACUUGGAGUUGUGGACCUGAUGGAAACAAACUUUAAUGUCAGAAUCAAGGCUAGAGCUCUAUUCUUUCUCCUCCAGUGGCAUGGAUUUAGAUCACUCACAGAAGCAAUUCCAUCAAUGCUCUCGUUACCCCUGCUUGUAACAUAGAGGUGAUCCACAAUUGCUCAGACUUCUGACAUGCUGGAAAUGCUGUGUCCUGUCAGUGGUUUCCUCACCAAGUUCUGCCCUGGAGAUAGGCUGGAGAUGACGCUCUGUGUUUCUGAUUUUCCAGUGUUCAGGAAAGCACAGGUUCCAAAUUGCCCUAAAAUUCUUUUCAAAUAAAAAUGAGAACCAUUUACAAAUCAAAAGGCCAAAUUCUUAAAUGUGCAAUUGGUUAUAACUUGAAUAGGCAGUGUCACUCAUUUGUUUUCUGCCAGCCCAGCAAGUAGAAUCAUAGAAUAAUUAAGAAGAAAAGGCCUCCAUGAUCAUCAUAGUCCAACCACCAACCCACCAUCACCAUGCCAUUAAACCACAUCUCUCAAAAUCGUCUGGGUGGACAUGGGUACAAGUUGAACUGUUACCUUGUCUCUCUGGAGAGAGGGCUGGCGAAAGCAGCCUCAUCCACAUCCCACAGUUAGGAAACUGUGGCCCUGGGGACAAGCACAGCUGGCCAUGCCGAGUCACUCUCCCAUGACUUGGCCGUGCCUACUGAUAUGUGAAACGUGCAAACGGCCCCCGCAGAGCUCCUUGGGAGCAGCAUUUCCACACUGCAAGAAACCGUCUGCGCCCCUUGCACUGACUGGCAUCUGUACUAACAGUCUGAGAGGAAAUGCCUGAGUGGCUCAUGUCUAAGCUAUGUCUCUGCUAGGUGAGACCAUCCAGACAGAGCUGAAUCAUUUGCUGAAAGGAAAGCCCUAUGUUCAGCCCUAUGAGUAGAGAGCAUCAGGGCUCAGUUCUCUGAAGCGAGUGCUGAAAUGAUUUCAGAAAGCAGAAAGAAGCAGCUGUUUUGUUUACUUUGCAGCUUUCCCUUCUAAAGAGGAUGACGUUCAUUUGGGAAGCAAAACUAUGAACUUUUGUCUUGGUUUGACAUGCAGGAUUAGGGUACAAUGUUUUGCAUCUGAUUUCUGGUGACCAGUGAACUAAGAUGGGCCAUUUCUUUUCAAAAAUGAACUAAGCUGGGCCAUUUCUUUUCAGAAGUGCAGAACAUCCAUGAUUAACUGACAUCAUUUAGACUAGUGCAAAAUGGUGCAACUCCCACAUUCUCUAAAAUUUGGUGUUUCCAGAUCUGUAGACUCAGAAACCAAUAUCUGGUGCUUCACAUCGGCUCAGAUCUACAGAACUGCCCACACUGAUUUUCACUAUGGAAAGGAUAAAUCUGACAUCACUGAGCUUCUUCCACUAACAUUUGGUGGCCUUUACUCAUGUGAGAGUUGUGUACUGUAUUAUGUUCUUCUUAUACACCUCCCCCCCACACACUCACACACACUUAUUUGUAUAUAUACAGGUAUAUACAAUCCCCAAAGAUUUUUUGUCUCAGCCACUUUUUAAAGUAAACUGCUCUACCUUGGAUGUGUUCCAUAUCGAAGCUGGGAAGCCUUAGUACACACAAAGCAGGCUGGAUUGCAGGUGAUGAAGCAAACACCUAUUUUACCUGCUUUUAUUUUUUGAUUUGACAGAGUGAACUUUCAGCACCUAGACCUGUGACUUUACAGGUGGCACUAUUAUGUUGCUACUGCAGUUCAGUUUGUUUCCUCUCUGUAAUCUCUAAUGUUUCUCAUGAAAGUUCAUCUCUGAGGUAAGUGUACUCAGUGGGGACACUUGUGUAUAUACCCCUUGCCACCUGUUAAGAACUUAAUGAUUUCUCCUCUGCCGGGAGUGUGGAUUCAUGCUUUAGAUCUGCACUGUUUCGAAAGAAGCAGUCCUGUCCUCCCCAAGCACCAGGCUGCAUCUUCCUGCCAUCUCCCUUCUCAGUGCUGGCACUUGGGCUGGAAAGGAUUCGCCUGCUGCCUGCCUGAAGACAUUUUACUUUCAGGGCUGUUUUUCAACUGGAUCAGCAGGCAGGUCUGGCACUGCACCAAACCCCAUGAUGACUGGUACCCAUACAAGAGAGCUGAUGGCAAUAUAUGGCAGGAAGGAAGCAGACUCAGAUUGGUUUAAACUGACCAUUAAAUCCUUUAAUGAAA